This 1345-nucleotide ribosomal RNA is filed under the name Escherichia coli. RNAcentral's name for it is "partial 23S ribosomal RNA". It matches the Rfam family "Bacterial large subunit ribosomal RNA", at positions 1473 to 2798 of the family's 2925-position model. The record is from RNAcentral. Lineage: Bacteria; Pseudomonadati; Pseudomonadota; Gammaproteobacteria; Enterobacterales; Enterobacteriaceae.
CGGAGAAGGCUAUGUUGGCCGGGCGACGGUUGUCCCGGUUUAAGCGUGUAGGCUGGUUUUCCAGGCAAAUCCGGAAAAUCAAGGCUGAGGCGUGAUGACGAGGCACUACGGUGCUGAAGCAACAAAUGCCCUGCUUCCAGGAAAAGCCUCUAAGCAUCAGGUAACAUCAAAUCGUACCCCAAACCGACACAGGUGGUCAGGUAGAGAAUACCAAGGCGCUUGAGAGAACUCGGGUGAAGGAACUAGGCAAAAUGGUGCCGUAACUUCGGGAGAAGGCACGCUGAUAUGUAGGUGAAGUCCCUCGCGGAUGGAGCUGAAAUCAGUCGAAGAUACCAGCUGGCUGCAACUGUUUAUUAAAAACACAGCACUGUGCAAACACGAAAGUGGACGUAUACGGUGUGACGCCUGCCCGGUGCCGGAAGGUUAAUUGAUGGGGUCAGCGCAAGCGAAGCUCUUGAUCGAAGCCCCGGUAAACGGCGGCCGUAACUAUAACGGUCCUAAGGUAGCGAAAUUCCUUGUCGGGUAAGUUCCGACCUGCACGAAUGGCGUAAUGAUGGCCAGGCUGUCUCCACCCGAGACUCAGUGAAAUUGAACUCGCUGUGAAGAUGCAGUGUACCCGCGGCAAGACGGAAAGACCCCGUGAACCUUUACUAUAGCUUGACACUGAACAUUGAGCCUUGAUGUGUAGGAUAGGUGGGAGGCUUAGAAGUGUGGACGCCAGUCUGCAUGGAGCCGACCUUGAAAUACCACCCUUUAAUGUUUGAUGUUCUAACGUUGACCCGUAAUCCGGGUUGCGGACAGUGUCUGGUGGGUAGUUUGACUGGGGCGGUCUCCUCCUAAAGAGUAACGGAGGAGCACGAAGGUUGGCUAAUCCUGGUCGGACAUCAGGAGGUUAGUGCAAUGGCAUAAGCCAGCUUGACUGCGAGCGUGACGGCGCGAGCAGGUGCGAAAGCAGGUCAUAGUGAUCCGGUGGUUCUGAAUGGAAGGGCCAUCGCUCAACGGAUAAAAGGUACUCCGGGGAUAACAGGCUGAUACCGCCCAAGAGUUCAUAUCGACGGCGGUGUUUGGCACCUCGAUGUCGGCUCAUCACAUCCUGGGGCUGAAGUAGGUCCCAAGGGUAUGGCUGUUCGCCAUUUAAAGUGGUACGCGAGCUGGGUUUAGAACGUCGUGAGACAGUUCGGUCCCUAUCUGCCGUGGGCGCUGGAGAACUGAGGGGGGCUGCUCCUAGUACGAGAGGACCGGAGUGGACGCAUCACUGGUGUUCGGGUUGUCAUGCCAAUGGCACUGCCCGGUAGCUAAAUGCGGAAGAGAUAAGUGCUGAAAGCAUCUAAGCACGAAACUUGCC